RNAcentral lists this ribosomal RNA (690 nucleotides) under Salmonella enterica. RNAcentral's name for it is "partial 23S ribosomal RNA". It matches the Rfam family "Bacterial large subunit ribosomal RNA", at positions 1 to 724 of the family's 2925-position model. Lineage: Bacteria; Pseudomonadati; Pseudomonadota; Gammaproteobacteria; Enterobacterales; Enterobacteriaceae. RNAcentral also lists the same sequence under 1 other name. The record is from RNAcentral.
GGGUUGUGAGGUUAAGCGACUAAGCGUACACGGUGGAUGCCCUGGCAGUCAGAGGCGAUGAAGGACGUGCUAAUCUGCGAUAAGCGCCGGUAAGGUGAUAUGAACCGUUAUAACCGGCGAUUUCCGAAUGGGGAAACCCAGUGUGACUCGUCACACUAUCAUUAACUGAAUCCAUAGGUUAAUGAGGCGAACCGGGGGAACUGAAACAUCUAAGUACCCCGAGGAAAAGAAAUCAACCGAGAUUCCCCCAGUAGCGGCGAGCGAACGGGGAGGAGCCCAGAGCCUGAAUCAGCAUGUGUGUUAGUGGAAGCGUCUGGAAAGGCGCGCGAUACAGGGUGACAGCCCCGUACACAAAAGCGCAUAUGCUGUGAGCUCGAUGAGUAGGGCGGGACACGUGGUAUCCUGUCUGAAUAUGGGGGGACCAUCCUCCAAGGCUAAAUACUCCUGACUGACCGAUAGUGAACCAGUACCGUGAGGGAAAGGCGAAAAGAACCCCGGCGAGGGGAGUGAAAAAGAACCUGAAACCGUGUACGUACAAGCAGUGGGAGCACCCUUUGGGGUGUGACUGCGUACCUUUUGUAUAAUGGGUCAGCGACUUAUAUUCUGUAGCAAGGUUAACCGAAUAGGGGAGCCGGAGGGAAACCGAGUCUUAAUUGGGCGUUAAGUUGCAGGGUAUAGACCCGAAACCCG